UACGAAGGGGGCUAGCGUUGCUCGGAAUCACUGGGCGUAAAGCGCACGUAGGCGGGUCUUUAAGUCAGGGGUGAAAUCCUGGAGCUCAACUCCAGAACUGCCUUUGAUACUGAAGAUCUUGAGUUCGGGAGAGGUGAGUGGAACUGCGAGUGUAGAGGUGAAAUUCGUAGAUAUUCGCAAGAACACCAGUGGCGAAGGCGGCUCACUGGCCCGGUACUGACGCUGAGGUGCGAAAGCGUGGGGAGCAAACGGG
RNAcentral lists this ribosomal RNA (253 nucleotides) under uncultured bacterium. RNAcentral describes it as "partial 16S ribosomal RNA". It matches the Rfam family "Bacterial small subunit ribosomal RNA", at positions 524 to 776 of the family's 1533-position model. The record is from RNAcentral.